UACGGAGGAUCCAAGCGUUAUCCGGAUUCACUGGGUUUAAAGGGUGCGUAGGUGGAAUGACAAGUCAGUGGUGAAAACCUGCAGCUUAACUGUAGAACUGCCAUUGAUACUGUUAUUCUUGAGUACAUUUGAUGUGAGUGGAAUGUGUCGUGUAGCGGUGAAAUGCUUAGAUAUGACACAGAACACCAAUUGCGAAGCAGCUCACAAAACUGUAACUGACACUGAGCACGAAAGCGUGGGGAUCAAACAGG
Molecule: ribosomal RNA, 251 nt
Filed under: uncultured bacterium
Lineage: Bacteria
Description: partial 16S ribosomal RNA
Rfam family: Bacterial small subunit ribosomal RNA
Source: RNAcentral